This 207-nucleotide ribosomal RNA is filed under the name uncultured bacterium. RNAcentral's name for it is "partial 16S ribosomal RNA". It matches the Rfam family "Bacterial small subunit ribosomal RNA", at positions 568 to 775 of the family's 1533-position model. The record is from RNAcentral.
CGCGUAGGUGGCCUGUUAAGUCGAACGUGAAAUCCCCGGGCUCAACCCGGGAACUGCGUCCGAGACUGGCAGGCUCGAAUCCGGGAGAGGGAUGUGGAAUUCCAGGUGUAGCGGUGAAAUGCGUAGAUAUCUGGAGGAACACCGGCGGCGAAGGCGGCAUCCUGGACCGGUAUGACGCUGAGGCGCGAAAGCCAGGGGAGCAAACGG